GACGAACGCUGGCGGCGUGCUUAACACAUGCAAGUCGAACGGACAAGCGCCGUCCUUGUUGGUCUGUGGUGAGGGGUGGCCGACUGGGUAGUAACACGUUAGUCACCUUCUCCCUUCUUCUGGAUAACCGCAUGAAGGUGUUGCUAAUACGGGAUAUUCUGAAUCUGUCGCAUGAUUAGUCUGGGAAGGUUUUGGUGUCGGUUGUGGAUGGGCUCGCGGCCUAUUAGCUUGUUGGUGGGGUGAUGGCCUACCAAGGCGGUGACGGGUAGCCGGCCUGAGAGGGUCGACGGCAACACUGGGAAGGAGACACGGCGAAGACUACUAGGGGCGGCAGUAGUGGGGAUUACUGAACAGUGGGAGACAGGAUGAUGCAGCGCCGCGGCGUGAGGGAUGGAGGCCUUAGCGUUGAGAACAUCUUUUGGGAGUGAAGAAGGCUUGAAUUGUUUGUGGGUGGGUUGACGGUAGCUGGACAAGAAGCGACGGCUAACUACGUG
RNAcentral lists this ribosomal RNA (494 nucleotides) under uncultured bacterium. RNAcentral describes it as "partial 16S ribosomal RNA". It matches the Rfam family "Bacterial small subunit ribosomal RNA", at positions 28 to 507 of the family's 1533-position model. The record is from RNAcentral.